Long non-coding RNA from Sebastes umbrosus (honeycomb rockfish), 356 nucleotides. RefSeq lists it as uncharacterized. The record is from RefSeq and is a predicted model, not a curated record. The transcript is spliced from 2 exons. NCBI's taxonomy places the organism in Eukaryota, Metazoa, Chordata, Actinopteri, Perciformes, Sebastidae.
GAGGGUUUUAUAACCCACUUCCACCCUGCUGGUUGGUUUGGGAUGGAGGGUUACAGGUUUGGGAUGGAGGGUUACAGGUUUGGGAUGGAGGGUUACAGGUUUGUGCAGCAGGCCUCUGCUUGACAGUUUAAGAAAGAGACACCAGGAUUUACUCCACAACAAAAUAUAAUUUAAUGAAUUCACUUUUCACCGUGUCGAUCACAAAUCUAUAUGGAUGUAAAAAAUGAAACGCAGAAAGGUAAGAUGAUCCAGAACUCUCCUCUGUCUUAAUGUAAGGCAUGCAGUCUCCACAGAGCUUUGGACAUUGAAAGCUACAGGUCAUUACAGCAGGACACACUGCCACUAAUACACACACA